Vicia faba (fava bean) is the source of this 309-nucleotide non-coding RNA. Lineage: Eukaryota; Viridiplantae; Streptophyta; Magnoliopsida; Fabales; Fabaceae. The record is from the annotation of a GenBank genome assembly.
AUGGACACUGUCACAAGCAUGGUAGGUGAAAAGCCAGUGGUGAUAUUCAGCAAGAGUACUUGUUGUUUGAGCCAUUCUGUAACAUCACUGAUACGUAGCUUUGGAGCCAACCCUAUUGUUUAUGAGCUUGAUAAGAUCACAAAUGGGUCGCAGAUUGAGAGAGAGUUGCUUCAAAUGGGGUGCAAACCAAGUGUGCCUGCUGUUUUCAUAGGACAACAGUUCAGAGGUGGUUCUAAGAAAAUUAUGAGUCUUCAUGUGAGGAAUGAGUUAGUGCCUAUGUUGAAAGAGGCUGGUGCUAUAUGGAUUUGA